UUUUCUUGCCUUGUUACCUGUCUUAUUUCAAAGUAUAAAUAUUGCUUCUCAUCUCAACACACACACUUUAAAUUACACACAGAAUUUUGAAUUUAAAAAUACUUCGAACAUCUUUUCACUACACAAUUUCAAAUACUCUCUCUACAUCUACCUUAUCUAUUUCUGAUACUGAGUACUCUGCUCCUCUCUCUUCUACUGUCUGAAAUACUCCUGGUUUCCUCUUGAACUCUCAAAUACUUGCUGAAGAUUCUGAGUUUGCUCUUGCUAACUUUCGGGCUGAUUACUUACUUUUGCUUGUUGUGCUAUACUAAAUAUUGCAACUGGUAUGUCUUUCUAGUUAAAUAAUACCCUCUUGACUAUGUGUUUAUUCCUUCUCUCUUGUUAUGCAUUCUCACUAUGUGUUUACUUUAUGCUUUCUUGCCUUAUGUGUGCUCUGCCUAUUUCUCUAUGAUUUUUUACCCUUAGUCUGUUAUGUUUUCUUGUGCUUCUGUGAAUGUUCUCUAUGUGAGUCCCAUUCCUUUUGACCCUUUCUUGUGUGAGAGUACUGUUAUGAGUCAUGGCAACAUCCUAUUAUUGCUAUCCAUGACCUAGAAUUAGGUUCUCUUGAACCUUUACUCAAGUCAAUUCCCAUUCCCUUUACCCCUUAUUUGUUGAGCCUUGACUCAAGUCUGUGGUGUCCUAAUCACCAUCUAGACCCAAGUGUGACUUCCAAAACGUCUGCUGUUAAUUAUUUAGACCAAGCAUAGGGUCAGGGGUGUAUCCAGUCUAUACCCAUGGCUGGGUAUGACCACUCUCUUCUAUUGCUCCCUUACCCCUCUCUCAUUUUGCACUUAUUACUAGUUCUAGGUUCUGCCCCUCUCUGGUAAGCCAUGCUUUGGGACCCUGGAGUUCCCUAUGAACUUGGAUGCCUGAGGGCUCGCUAUUUCACACUGCACUAUUCUUUUAUAACAUUUAGCUAGAGUGUAAGCACUGCCUGGAGCUCCUGAAGCUCCGUGGAACUCUGAAACACUUUGGAUAAAAGAAGGACUUGGAAAUCGGGAUUCAUGAAUUUGUGAAACACAUGUUAUUGGACACUAAUAUUGAAUUAGGCUUGUCAGAUCUAGCUGUACGCUGUGAUGUAUUUUAAUUAUCCGUCUUUCUAAUGGUUCUGUAAUAAUUUUGUGAAAAAAAAAAAGAACUCGGGGAAUAUUAGUGAAAAGGUGGAAGGGAUUUACUUUACUUGCAUAUACUAAAG
RNAcentral lists this long non-coding RNA (1234 nucleotides) under Nicotiana benthamiana. RNAcentral describes it as "long non-coding RNA (NBEN_LNC013768)". Lineage: Eukaryota; Viridiplantae; Streptophyta; Magnoliopsida; Solanales; Solanaceae. The record is from RNAcentral.